CGUGGGGGGUUGGUUGGUCCCUCAGCCUGGAUUGAGAGAGGGCACAGGCUAGGCCGAGGGACCCCACCGGUGCAUG
This 76-nucleotide microRNA precursor is filed under the name Myotis brandtii (Brandt's bat). Its description in RNAcentral is "mir-9193 microRNA precursor family". It matches the Rfam family "mir-9193 microRNA precursor family". Lineage: Eukaryota; Metazoa; Chordata; Mammalia; Chiroptera; Vespertilionidae. The record is from Rfam by way of RNAcentral.